RNAcentral lists this unclassified non-coding RNA (874 nucleotides) under Hevea brasiliensis (rubber tree). The record is from RNAcentral. Lineage: Eukaryota; Viridiplantae; Streptophyta; Magnoliopsida; Malpighiales; Euphorbiaceae.
CAAAUUCAAUCUAUGAAGCUUAUAUUCCUGAAGGCAUUUCAAAGCCAGGAGCAGAUGCUAGCCAUGAGCAGCGUUCUAAAUUCAUUAGGUCCAAGUAUGAGCGACAAGAAUUCUUGAAACCAAGCCAAAUUCAAUCUAUGAAGCUUAUAUUCCUGAAGGCAUUUCAAAGCCAGGAGCAGAUGCUAGCCAUGAGCAGCGUUCUAAAUUCAUUAGGUCCAAGUAUGAGCGACAAGAAUUCUUGAAACCAAGCUUGCGUAUAUUGUCAAAUCAGAAAAAAGGAUCUCUCAAAACAAGUUUGUCUAAUAAGAUCACAGACAGCUUUCGAAGUUCGAGUUCAACUUCACAAAAAUCUGAAGGCAUGGUAGAAUUUAUUGGAAUGCUGAAGGUUAAAGUAAUUAAAGGCACAAACUUAGCCAUCAGAGAUAUGCUCUCAAGUGAUCCUUAUGUUGUCCUGAAUCUUGGGAAACAGAAAGUGCAAACAAGUGUAGUAAAGAGCAAUUUAAAUCCAAUUUGGAAUGAGGAAGUAAUGCUUUCUGUUCCACAAGAUUACGGAGUUGUAAGACUGCAAGUAUAUGAUCACGAUACAUUCUCUGCUGAUGAUAUAAUGGGGGAAGCCGAGAUAGACAUCCAGCCUAUGAUAACAUCUGCCAUGGCAUUUGGGGAUGCUGGAAUGUUUGGUAACAUGCAGAUUGGAAAAUGGCUAAAAUCAAAUGAUAAUGCCCUGCUGGAUGAUAGCACUGUAAACAUCGUGGACGGGAAGGUGAAACAAGAAGUAAAUCUUAAGCUACAAAAUGUUGAAUCUGGAGAUCUUGAAUUAGAAUUAGAGUGGAUCCCUCUUGACCAAUAGGUGUAUAUAAGAUUUUAGAAUUUUUUG